AAAGGGUUACUCUUGUCGGGGUUCAGUUUACAUGGACGUGGUGUCCCAAGAUGUUCUGGAGCAGUAAAUACAUGUCAAUCAGUGCUUCUAAGGAAAGCCUUGAUUGGAAUAGACUCAGGUCUAUAGGCUGUGAUGUCCAAGAUGCUUCAUUCUAUGUGUGGUGAAGGACUUCCCUAAAUCCACUGGGUGGUGAUGGAGAGAUGAUAUAAGGAGAGGUUAAUUGUGAAGAUGGAAGAAGAGGAACGGAAAUAGCAGGAGAGCCCCCAGGAAACAGACACCAUAAGAGGGAGAACCACAAGGCGGAGCCUCUGCAACACUUGAUUUCACACUCUAGUGAAGAGAAGCAAGUACUUCAAUCUGCUUCAUUGCCCCAUCUUGCCGGAGCAUUAAUCGCUUCACAGAAUAAAAACAGAAAAACCACAAAUUGGCAUUUUUGGAAACCACUGAAGUGAACUUUGCCUCCUGUAGAGAUGUAGAGGGAACUGGGAAGGAUUCGUUGAGUAAACGGACCUGUAGUCAGAUGUUUGAAGCCGCUUCUACUCUCAGCUUGCCUGGGAAGAUGAAGAAAGCAAGAAACAGCUACCUAGUACUCAACUCCCACGGAGAACACACAAAGGAAAAGCUUGUCAUGUGGAUUUCUCCGCCAUCAAAAGAAACGUUUUCUGUCAUCCAAGGAGUAAAAUUGAACCUUGUCUUUUUUCCCUUUGCAAAAUAAACUGACUUGUUAGUCUGCAAUCAUACAAUUAG
This 747-nucleotide long non-coding RNA is filed under the name Mus caroli (Ryukyu mouse). RNAcentral's name for it is "lncRNA (MGP_CAROLIEiJ_G0003688.1)". The record is from RNAcentral. Lineage: Eukaryota; Metazoa; Chordata; Mammalia; Rodentia; Muridae.